This is an RNA transcript of Magnolia sinica, 6295 nucleotides long. It is a transcript of the gene named RNA pseudouridine synthase 6, chloroplastic, with no coding region annotated. NCBI's taxonomy places the organism in Eukaryota, Viridiplantae, Streptophyta, Magnoliopsida, Magnoliales, Magnoliaceae. The transcript is spliced from 12 exons. The record is from RefSeq and is a predicted model, not a curated record.
UCUCACACGCGUGCCAUGUCAGCACGUGUGCUGCAAAUCACCUUUUCCUCACACAAAAAUAUCCAUUUCCUCACGCCCACCGUCGUUCAUGAGAACAUUACUGUCGUUUGGAAUAAUCCCGCAAUCCAAACGCGAUUUGCCCAAAUCAUGAUUGGCGCCGCUUCGACUCUAUCUUCGAUCUUCUUCGCCAACGCUUCGGUUUCUUCUCGAUGGGCAUCCAACCGCUGGACUCUCGUGGUGGCGCCUAUCUCCCGCGCGCGCACGUUAGCCACCGGCCGCGUUCUAAAGAAGCUCGGCGAGAAACGAAGGGCAGCUCCUGCCUAUUGCUAUUCCAAGCCAGAGAUUGGAUGUGUAAUCAGCAAUCCUCCAACGAAUAACUAUCCUGAAUACAAUCGCUUACUUCCAUGUCCAUCACAAAAUGGACCACUGAGGAUUGAACACUUAGUAGUAUCGGAAGGAGGUCCGGUUCUUGAAUAUAUUUGCAGAGCUUUGGAUCUUCCUCCACUGUUUGUCUCAGAUCUUAUCCAUUUUGGAGCCGUGUAUUAUGCAUUGGUGUGCCCAAAGCCGCCUCCAACUGCAACUCCUGAGCAAAUCCGCAUCUUUAAAGAGGUGACAGAACCAUCGGUUCUCAAAAAACGAGCAUCAAUUAAAGGGAAGACGGUGAGGGAAGCACAAAAGACAUUCAGGAUAACUCACGUCGAUGAAUUUGUUGAAGCUGGCACAUACUUACGUGUACAUGUACAUCCGAAACGCUUCCCAAGGUGCUACGAAAUUGAUUGGAAAUCAAGAAUUAUAGCUGUCACUGAAUCUUAUGUGGUUCUUGACAAACCAGCUGGUACAUCAGUUGGAGGAACAACAGACAACAUUGAAGAAAGCUGUGCAACAUUUGCCUCUCGCGCUUUGGGAUUAGAAACUCCCUUGAAAACUACCCAUCAGAUUGAUAAUUGCACUGAAGGCUGUGUUGUAUUUGCUAAGACAAAGGAGUAUUGCUCCGUGUUUCAUGGAAAAAUUCGGGAAAAACAAGUGAAAAAGCUUUAUCUUGCUCUUGCUGCCACACCUGUUCGAGUUGGAAUAAUUUCCCACUACAUGCGUCCGUUGAAUGUUGCUCCAAGGAUUAUUUCAGAAGAUUCUAUUGGAGGAUGGCAUCUUUGCCAACUUGAGAUAUUGGAAUGCAAGGAGGUUCCUUGGCCUAGUGCUGACAUUGAAAAAAGCUAUUGUAUUGAAGAUUGUGGUUGGCCCUCAAAGGAUGCUGCAUAUGAAUGUAAAAUCAACCUAUUGACAGGUCGAACUCACCAGGUUCGUGCACAACUGGCUGCUUGCGGUGCACCUAUAGUGGGUGAUUCAAUGUACAUGCCUGCUGUAAUUGCAGAAAUGGACAAUCCCAAAAUUAACCCAUUCGGCAAAUCGAAAUCUCAAUUUACAGACGAAGAUGAUAGAAGGAGAGCCAUUGAAGAGUGGAUUGCAUGCCACGGUAAGGAACCAAAUGUAGCCAUCGGUCUCCAAGCAUGUCAGAUAUCAUGGGAUGAUGGAGAAUGCAUUUAUGAAGCUAGGUCUCCAUGGUGGAGAUGACAAGUGUACAAAACCAGGUAUCAGGCUUUUGAUUGCUGCUCUGUGUUUUGCAAUGAACUCUUUGUACCAAGUUGCUGAUAGCUUUGGAGUUCUCUUCAGUGUUGUGAAAUCAACGUGGUAAAGCCCAAACCUCUUUGAAUAUCCAAAUAUCCACUCGAAGUUGUCAAGCAGGGACCAUGUGAAAUAACCCCUCACAUCUGCUCCUUUCCUGCUCAUUCAAACAAUUAUACAGAAAUUAGAAGGCUAGAAACAAACCAACUAGUCUAAAUCCAAGCAUGUGAAAUCCCAUCUAUGUUAGCAUAUGCUUGAAUCCUUCAAUUUGGUGUUUUAAAUAGCAUUCCCAGUGUAUGAAACAAACUAGGUAGUCUAAAUCCAAGUGUGUGAAACCCCAUCUACGUUAGUUUCUAUAAUAUGCACAAAUCCUUCAAUUCAGUGUUUUAAAUAGCAUCCGCUACAUAGCAUAGUGUAGCCUUCACACUAUCUAGCGCAUGAAAAUAGUAAAUGUCACAUGUAACAUAUGCUGCAGGCACAUGUAGCGUACACUACAUGCUAUGUAGUGCACAUUCAGCACUGUUUUCACUAAUAAAUCAAUUAAUGUUUUCAAUGAUUUGCCGCAUUUUGAUAAAUUUGCACCAAAAUUAGUCAAUGAUUUUAACAUUUUAGUGAAAUAACAUGAGCAACAAAAUUGGUUUCGUUGUUAUCUUUUCUAUCUUUGUUCUUUAUAUUUACUCUUUGCCCUGUUUUUCCUAUUAUUGUAAUUAACGUGCUACAUAGCUUACGCCCACCAUGCAUUCAAAAGGUGAAUGCUAUGCUAUGUGUGAUUCAAUAUCUGAAACAGGCGUCUGCUUGUACCACUGUAACCUACGAUGGUAUCAAGCAGAAAUGGGGCCCUCGUGAUGUAUUCACAACAUCCAACCCGUCUAUCAGAUUUGUGAUCUCACAGUACCCUUAAAUCACAAAAAUGAGCCCAAAUGAAAACUCAGGUGGGCCAAAGAACAGUGGACAAGUUGAGAGGGGAUGUCCAUCCUUGAUUUAUGUGGAGGGGCCACCUUUUUGUUUAUACAGAAUCCAGGAUGUCUAGACCCUUUAUCUGCCAUGGAUGAAGGAUCAGCACAAAAAUAGGCUGUAAUGCAACCCACCACGUGGACCCUUGUGAGAGUCAUGAGUCGGCAUCCCCUCCCACCAUGUUACCUUUGCUGUGACCCAGAGUUUUGGAUCAAGCUGAUGUUUGGGUCAGGGGGUAAGCUGAGGGAACACAUCUGAUGGACAGUUUGGAUGUGAUACCUACAACAUUUGGGCCCCUUUCUUCCUGGUACCACCUUAUGCUUAUAGUGAUGCUGGGACCACUACAGUUCACCUCUUUAAAAUAUUGGUUCAAUUUCCUCUGAGUACCGUGUCGGAUGUGAUAUGGGGUUUGAGUAUGGGUAUGGCUCAUUCAUAUUGAAAUAUUUUACAUAAAAAGUAUUUAAAAAAUCAUCAUUGGUUUGUCCCAGCUAUUAAGCAACUCAUGCCAUUUGAGGUGGCCCAGCCCAGCAUUCAUUCGCAAAUCCUGUAGUGAAAUUGAGACUGCUCGACCUCAUAAGCUAAUUCGCAUGUAGUUUCCCAUGUGGUGAUUCCUGUGGUGAUUUGAUUUAGGAAUUCACGUAGUUAGUUGCGCCAAGGUAGCGACGUUAGUUGAUUAAUCGAAUUCAACAACACUGCUUGCAAAUAUUGCUUCACCAAUAAUUCCCAAGGCACUAGCCCCAGUAAGUGAACAACUCUUCUUCCCUUGUCCUCAUUUCUGGCCCUUCAGCUCGAAUCUGAGUUCCUCUAAUACUGAGAUGUCUCUGGUUAUAUUAGCACAUGGCAGAACCAUCUCAAUUUGCUCUUCCCAAUUCUAUUUUCUUAAAAAAAUAAUAGAAAUUAUUUAAUACUUAAAAAUACUAAAAUGCUAUCUAUAUUACACAAAAAACAAUGAACAUUGAACUAAAGUAAAAAUUGUAAAUAUCAGUAUUAAGUGAUCUUACUUAUAACUUAAGGGCAUGAUGGAUUUGUUAUCUUAGCAUCAUACAUGUGAUUUCUAAAGCGAUGAGCCAUAAGCCAUAUUACUGAUAAUCACCAUCUUGCACCAGCCGUAGCCGACCCCAAUUAAGCUGGAUAAGGCUUCAAUGGUGAUGAUGACCAUAUUGUAGCAACCUCAAUUUGUAUAAAACCUAAUCCACUUUGGUUAUAUUUGCUUUAAUUUGUUUGUGAAAUUUUAUUUAAAUUGUUUUGUGAUAAUACCUACCAAAAUGCAAACUAGUCAUUGUGCAAUUACUUGCAAUUUUCUUUUAUUCCACUAGUAUAUUGUGUAUUAGAACUACGAAGCAUGAACAGAAUGGCACACCAGUUAACUUUGUGACUGUGUCCAUGCCCCAUGCAUGCACCUUAUGACAAACUUACGUGUGGAUAUAGGAAUUCCCACAUGCUCAUGAGUCAUGAUGCUCCCCAAAUAUAUUUAAAAUACACCCAGCCAUGCAGGUCAACAUAUGAUUCAUGCAUGGAAAACAUAGAAAUGCAUCCACAAAAGCACACAGAUAUACAUAAACUUCAUAUUCAUGACUACAUUCAUGCAUGCAUUUGUACUUGCCAAUUGAUACCUGAUUGCUGUGGCAAGGGCGUCCAAAUAGCUACUCAUGUACUCGAUUCUUUUCACAUCAUGGAGGAAAGAUUCAAUUGGGGCAUCAGGAUUGUUAUCUUCAGGAUAGCCUACAAGAUCCAAUGUAUUUCAAUUUAUACAUAUCAGCUUGAACAAGGAUGUGGGUAGAAGUAUUAAGAAAAUACUGGAUGUCCUAUGGUCUAACUGAAGUUAUGGCUCUUGAUAGAGUAGAAUGACAGAAAAGGGUUCUUGUAGCUGACCUUGAUUAGUUGGGAUAAGGCUUAGAUGAUGAUAAUGAUGAUAAUGUGCUUGAAAAAAAAAAUUAAAAAAAUUAAAAGCUAUGAACAGAUAUGUAGCCUAGAAUGAGAAUGAGAUCAAAUGUGCCCCAACUGGGAGCAUUUUGUGGAGAUAGCGGUGUAUCUCACAAAAUGUGCACGGAGAGAAUGGACAAAUGUCCCCAUCUCAAGAAAAGCCCCCAAAUUUGAAGGUUAUGGCAACAGGUCAGACCACCUAUCAUCUUAUUCUCAUUUUGGGUGGCGGAUGUUUGCCACAGUCGACAUUUGACUGGCAUCCAAACCAGUAUGAUAAUUUUGGGACUUACAAACUUGAUCUCACCAUUUUCAGCGACAAACAUGGGUGUAUUAUUGUAUCUCUCCUUCAGAUACAUGAGUAUCUUCUCCAUUCCUUGUGGGUAGACGUAGUACCACUCCAUUGUAGUCUGCACGAACAGAAACCAAGGUAUUUAAAUGUCAACACAAGUUGUGAGACUCUGGCAUGCAUUCACCAUGCUAUAUUUUGAUGGUGUGACUCAUGUACCGACCGUGUUGCAUGCUUGCAAAGAAUCCGGAUCAUCCAAAUUAUGGGUUUCUCUGUGGAUAGAGUAUAGCUAGAGAAUCGCCUAGAUCAAACUAUCCUACCACAAAUUGCUGGUAAGAAAAGAAUAUGGUCAAAAUUUAAUGAGCAAGAUCAGAUGGUUAGGUACAUCUGAUGAGUGCAAUGUUCCAGCUCAAUCCAUCCACAGUAGGGCCUGCAUGGAUGGUCUGGAUCAAUGUGCAUAAGCCCUAUGUUGUUAGCGAUACUGAUGGUGGUGGUUGUGAUGAUGAUGAUGGAGAGGUUACUCACAGGUUCACCGAUGUUUACACCAUCCUUUUGUCCAGUCUGGGAUGCAUAACCCUCUGACCAGGAAUUUCCCAUUCCGGAUUUACAUGGAGAGAAAAUGCAGUCUUUAGCAUAGAGACUUGUGUAGUGGUUGAUUCCAAUGAAAUCUAACCCCUUCCGCAAUUUUUUCAUGUCAUUCUGUGAAAAUGUAGGUAAAUUGGAGCCCAAGAUCUCCUGCAUCUCAUCCGGGUAUCUUCCAAAUAUAAUUGGAUCCAAGAACCUGCAGGAAGAAUCAGGUGUCACCUUCUCUGUAUGUGAAGGACAAAGGUGUGCAAGAUCCAAGCCACUCAUCAGAGAGUUCCGAAAAAGAUGCAGAUGAGAAUUUCGUGCAAAUAGUUUGUGUGGGGCCCACCGUUGUGUAUGGAAACUAUCCAUCACAUUCAGCAGGGCUGUGUCAACAUGAAAAUGGGAUGCCCUCAAAAUCAAGCUAAUCCAACCAUCAGGUGCGCCAACCUUGUGAAUUUGUAGGUUUUUGGGUGGUUGUCGAUUAUUUUCUAUAGCCUGGCUUACAUAAUGAUUGGAUCAGCCUGAUUUUUGUUGCGUCCAGUGUCAUGGUGGGUUGACCGUACUGGAUGGGGUGGAGGCCCUUCACUAUAGUGGGUCCUGCAUUGCACUAAAUUAUCAUCUACAACUAGUUCCAUAUGAGAUGUUCCCUGGGCAAUUAAGAGGCUGUGUACCGGAGAACCAAGAUUACGGAGACAAGGGUGAUGAGAUGGAUGUGUCUGAAGGCUGCAAAGCAUGUAAUUAAGGGCCUGUUUGGAUACCACCAAAUAAGUUACUUUUUCUACUUACAGCAGUAGAUAAGUAACUUAUUUGAGGUAAGUUAGGUUUAUGAUCAAUUAUAGGUAGUUAUUUUAUUUUAUUUUUAUUUUUAUUAUUUUUUUAAACUUAAAGUUACUUAAUCACUUCAGUUUAAUAAGUAGAAAUCAAGAUAAGCUACUUAAGGCAUAA